UACGAAGGGGGCUAGCGUUGUUCGGAAUUACUGGGCGUAAGGCGUAUGCAGGCGGAUCGUUAAGUCGGGGGUGAAAUCCCGAGGCUCAACCUCGGAACUGCCUUCGAUACUGACGAUCUUGAGUCCGGGAGAGGUGAGUGGAACUGCGAGUGUAGUGGUGAAAUUCGUAGAUAUUCCCAAGAACACCAGUGGCGAAGGCGGCUCACUGGCCCGGUACUGCCGCUGAGCUGCGAAAGCGUGGGGAGCAAACAGG
This 253-nucleotide ribosomal RNA is filed under the name uncultured bacterium. RNAcentral's name for it is "partial 16S ribosomal RNA". It matches the Rfam family "Bacterial small subunit ribosomal RNA", at positions 524 to 776 of the family's 1533-position model. The record is from RNAcentral.